Molecule: non-coding RNA, 30 nt
Filed under: Mus musculus (house mouse)
Lineage: Eukaryota; Metazoa; Chordata; Mammalia; Rodentia; Muridae
Source: RNAcentral
UUGAAAAGCAAUAUUCAAGUGCCUUGAACA